UCUCUUUCUCUCUUUUUCUUUCCCAGUUUCCAUCGUUGGUUCGUCUCAGUUCGGAACGGAACAGAGACGUGCCUAUCGUACCGCCGGCCGGUCGAUCCGGCCACCGAUACCGAUACAGAAAACUUUGAUUUUGAAGUAGUAGAUCGCAUUCAAUAGCUUGGAGCAUUGAUGUAGGACCUCUAUUAUAAGAUUUUGAUCUGAUCAUAUCUGAGUCCAAAUCGGAUCGAUCUGAUUCUAGCCUGGCUCUCUCUAUGUAUAUAUAUAUAUAUAUAUCCUACAUCUAUGAUCCAAACUAUUGGAUAUAAUCUACUACCUCAAAACUAUUUGCAUACC
This 333-nucleotide long non-coding RNA is filed under the name Elaeis guineensis (African oil palm). RNAcentral's name for it is "long non-coding RNA (EGUI_LNC003629)". Lineage: Eukaryota; Viridiplantae; Streptophyta; Magnoliopsida; Arecales; Arecaceae. The record is from RNAcentral.